GGUUUUACCAGUACUCCCUUAUUGGUAACAAUCUCCCCCUUUUUGAUGAUGAUCAAAAAUCCUGUUUUAAAAGCAACUCAGUUUUUCCUGCAGCACAUACAAACUAAAAACAGCCACAGAGUUAGCAGUACCUGUUCAAUUUUUAUUUCUCCCCUUAAUAAAUUUCUUCUCCACCUUUUUGAUCAUAAGCAAAAAGAAUAAUGAAAAAAUCUCCCCCUUAAAAUGAGCUCCCCCUCAAAAAAUGCAUGAAAUUGUUAUAAAAGCUCAUUAUAUUAAAAAUAGAAGGAAAUUACAUGAAAAUGCAUAAAGAUUAAGUCUAAAUACCACAAAGAAA
Molecule: long non-coding RNA, 334 nt
Filed under: Vigna radiata
Lineage: Eukaryota; Viridiplantae; Streptophyta; Magnoliopsida; Fabales; Fabaceae
Description: long non-coding RNA (VRAD_LNC016343)
Source: RNAcentral